AAUAGCCUAACGGCUGAACCAGCAACUUGGAGGAAUGUAAGGCAAUAGCCUAAUGCAUUAUUUUAAUGUUUAAUCGACCAUGUCGAAUAAAAUUCUAGGUAGAGUUUUGACAAUGACAUUCUCUAUCUAUGUGUCUUGACCAAAUUACGUGCCAGCAGUCGCGGUAAUACGUAAAAGACUAGUGUUAUUCAUCUUUAAUAGGUUUAAAGAGUACCAAGACGGUUAAUAAAGCCCCUAAAGGGUACAAAUUAACUAGAGUUAUAUGAAAGGGAGCUCUUAGGUACUGUUGAGUGUAGAGAUGAAAUUCUGUGAUACCAGAUGAUUGGCACGGGUCUAUGCGAAGGCAUCUCCUUAUGUAAUAACUGACGUUGUAGGACGAAGGCUUUUGAAGUGAACAGGAUUCGAUACCCCAGUAAUCUAAGCAGAAAAUGAUGAGUGUCAUAGGUUAAAUAUAAUUUAGUCUAUAAAUGAAAGUGUAAGCAUUCCACCUCAAGAGUAAUUUGGCAACAUUGGAACUGAAAUCAUUAGACCGUUUCUGAAACCAGUAGUGAAGUAUGUUUUUUAAUUUGAUGAUCCGCAAAAGAACCUUACCACUUUUAAUAAUGUUAAAAUUAUUAUUUUUUUUUUUUUUUACAUUGUUAAAAUUAUUAUCUUGAAUAAAUAUUUUUUUAAUAUUUACAAGCGUUGCACGGCUGUCUUCAGUUAAUGUCGUGAGAUUUUGGUUAGUUCCAUUAAAUUAACGAAAACCCUUACUUUAUUUUAAUAUAAAGUUGUUCACCGUUAUAUUGGAUAUGAUAAUAGGGACCAGGACAAGUCAUCAUGACCUAAAUAUUGU
This 835-nucleotide ribosomal RNA is filed under the name Peltigera collina. RNAcentral describes it as "SSU rRNA". It matches the Rfam family "Bacterial small subunit ribosomal RNA", at positions 370 to 1210 of the family's 1533-position model. Lineage: Eukaryota; Fungi; Ascomycota; Lecanoromycetes; Peltigerales; Peltigeraceae. The record is from RNAcentral.